UCAAUUCAGGAUCCGUGGGAACUCCUCUGCACUCCUGUGACUUCAUGCAGCUGCUGGCUGUCCAGUGCUAAUGCCACCUCUAGGGUGCCUAUAAGGCCAGCAUGUUAAAGCACUUUAUUUUCAGUUUAAACCUCGUGAAAGAUAGGAGGAAUUGGUGAAAUUAUCGAAGAUUUUCAGUCUAAGAGAAAGUGUGCUUGACUAAGACUGAUGAUCAAAACUUUCCUCUAUUGUUACCAAGCUCAGUGAGUCCUGGGUGAUAACCACCUCACCUUACAUAAAAGAAGCCAGUCCUAUUCUGUCAGGUGCAGAAUACAGCAAAUUCCCUACUUGACGUUGCUGGUACUUCAUUAAACAGAGGAUGAGAGAUUUGACAGCUGGAAUUACUACAGGAAUCUUCAGAAGACCCCUGCUAUGCCCCUUAGAUGUGUAUGACAGAGUCAUUAAAUCAUUGCACACAGUUAUGCUAAUUGGCAAAAAGAUAAUGUGCUGUAUGUGGGAGCGCAAGAUUCUGUCUCCAAGUGCUGAACAUGGAGAUCACUGAGUUGAGGCAGGAUAAGCUGGCAGAACUGUGUCCCCCCACCUUUUCUGGAUCUUUGAGCUCCCGCCUUCCUUACGGCUAAUGAUGAGGCACCAGAAUUGUCCAAAUUUUGAAGUCCUCUCCAGUACCACAUACAGCAGUGCUAUGUGAGGUAUUGCUUUAUGAAAGCUGACGCCCAGUUGCUUUCCCUCAGACAAGUCUUUCUGCUGCUCUUACAGCUGUGAAUGGUGGAGGAUUUGGGCUUCUGCUGAGAUCCUGCCUUCUGAGAAGAGCUCACCAGAAUGGCCGGUGCGGGCUGUGGGGAGGCAGAGCCCGGGCUGCUGCAGAGUGCUGCAUCCAUCAGCAUCCCUGCAUGGGGACUGCUGCUGUGCGUGGAACAGGACAGCCCCUGCCCAUGUCAGCGAGAGAAAGUGUUGCAGCCUUACUGCUCAUGGUAUUCAAAUGCACCUGCCUGCACUUUUCUUCUAUGUGAGUGGAAAUUGAGCAAGGAAACAAUAUUUGGGGGACAAAUUCAAUUAACCAUGAAAAAGAGGAAUUUCACCAGAAGACUAGCCACAGAUUUUCAUUUCAAGAGCAACUCGUGUCAUUCAUUUGUCUUAAGAGAAGCACAAGGCCAGCUGUUCCUUCAGCUAUGAUUCCAGCUUUUGCUUUUUGACGUGCCGAUACCAGUGCCUUCCUGUGCAGCAAUUCUCACCAUUCUUCCUGUUCAAGGCCAUUUCUGCUCUUCAUCCCAGUGUCGCUGCCAGCACCAGCCUCCUGAAGUCUCUGCAAAAUACCCUUUCACAUGGCAACAGAGAUGUGGACCUUCUCUCCUUCUCCCUUUGAACCCUUGGAGGCUCACCUCAAACUUUGCUCUUCAAGUACCUUGAUGUUAAUCUUAUUCUGGAUGAAUGCAGGAGUUUGAAUAAGCACAUCUGGAAGCCAGCUUUGCAGAGUAUUUCCAGAGCAGCAAGCAAUACUGGGAACUAUGUAAUGGUGAUGGGCCUGGUGCGGUCCUGCAGUCCCGAGCCUGUUCUUCGAGCAAUAAAGAUGACAGAUCUUUCUGAAAACCCCGUGCAUAAGAAUAUGUGGACCCUUGAAGUGGAGGAUUUGC
Molecule: long non-coding RNA, 1631 nt
Organism: Calidris pugnax (ruff)
Lineage: Eukaryota; Metazoa; Chordata; Aves; Charadriiformes; Scolopacidae
Exons: 11
Source: RefSeq, a predicted model, not a curated record